Long non-coding RNA from Octopus bimaculoides (California two-spot octopus), 1268 nucleotides. The record is from RefSeq and is a predicted model, not a curated record. NCBI's taxonomy places the organism in Eukaryota, Metazoa, Mollusca, Cephalopoda, Octopoda, Octopodidae.
ACAGGUCAGUCAAACAACAAUAAACACACACAAAAAAAAGUACACAUUAUUGGUUUCAAUUAUUUGAUUGUGGCCAUGCUGGGGCACCAUCUUUAAAGGUUUUUUUUUUUUUCUUCGUCAAUCCUUUUGAUUGCAGUAUUUAUUCUUGUUUGAUACUUAUCUUAGCAAUCUCUUUUUGUUGGAUUGCUAAGUGACAAGACUUAAAGAGACACAGUGUAGAUAACACCUGUUUUUAUAUUCGUGUAAAGCACACACACACACACACACACACACACACACACAUGUACAUAUUUGUAGAUAUACAAUCAUAUUUAUAUAUAUCUGUAUGUGUAUAUAUGUGUGUGUGCAUGCGCACGUGUAAACUUUGUGUUAGUCAAGAUACGUUUGUAAUAUAUUUCAACUUUUAAAAGCAAAUUCACUGCAGUUACCAUGGAGAUAAAAAAAUUCUCUCUAAUGAUAAAUGGUGUAAAAAUGCUGUAUCUGCCCAGUGUUGUCCUCUAUUGGGGGCAACACUGGGCAGAUGUUGCUUUUUGUCUCCACAGCAAUUGCAGUGAAUUUGAAAUGUGUCACAAACAUAUUUUAACUAUCCUAAAGUUUGCUUAUGCCUAAACACUGCUUAGCAUUGAUACUGCUGAAUUUCUUGUGACUGGGGGGUCCAGUGGCACAACUCAGUCAAUUUUUAUUUAAAGCAGUGGUCCCCAUACUUUUUCAGGCUGCCGCCCCCUUGACACCCAGGCCAUAUUCCUAGCGUCCCCACCCCAGUUAACCAUCACAAACAUAAACCUCUUUCUGAUGUAGAUUCAAAGCAAUUCUAUUUCACAAAUAGAAUUUAACCUAAUGACCCCAUUAUUUUGUUUUUACAUGAAUCACUACCCCAUUAUCGCCCUAUUUUUUUUUACAUGAAUCAACUUAAUCCCCUUGUUUGUACCCUUUAUGUUUAGCCUCUUGUGGGCAAUAAAGAAAUAAGAAACCUGUAUAAAAUGUAUUUAUUUCUUUUACAUUUCUAGAGAGUAAAGUUCCUUCUGUCUUUCCCGCAACUCAACUAUGCUCUCGCUUUGAAUCUUUCUAAAAACUAUACAUCCAUAAAACAACUGUUAACAAGUUCUGCUGAGGAGAUUGCUCAAAAGGGGAAAACAUCUGCGGCCCUUGCUAACAAAAUUCAUGCCUAUAUGCACCACCAAAGCUCCAAAGAUAUGUGAUAAAUUAAAAAAGGAAAAAAAAAAGAUAUAUAUUUUGUUAUUUUUUGAAAUAAAUUAUUUUAUAUUGUU